This 30-nucleotide non-coding RNA is filed under the name Mus musculus (house mouse). The record is from RNAcentral. Lineage: Eukaryota; Metazoa; Chordata; Mammalia; Rodentia; Muridae.
UGGAACAACAGGUAGCUGUGGUGUCAUGAU